This 650-nucleotide ribosomal RNA is filed under the name uncultured bacterium. RNAcentral describes it as "bacterial SSU rRNA". It matches the Rfam family "Bacterial small subunit ribosomal RNA", at positions 56 to 685 of the family's 1533-position model. The record is from RNAcentral.
UGCAGUCGAGCGAGUGGAUCUCGAGAGCUUGCUCUCAAGAAGUUAGCGGCGGACGGGUGAGUAACACGUGGGUAACCUGCCCAUAAGACUGGGAUAACUCCGGGAAACCGGGGCUAAUACCGGAUAACAUUUUGAACUGCAUGGUUCGAAAUUGAAAGGCGGCUUCGGCUGUCACUUAUGGAUGGACCCGCGUCGCAUUAGCUAGUUGGUGAGGUAACGGCUCACCAAGGCAACGAUGCGUAGCCGACCUGAGAGGGUGAUCGGCCACACUGGGACUGAGACACGGCCCAGACUCCUACGGGAGGCAGCAGUAGGGAAUCUUCCGCAAUGGACGAAAGUCUGACGGAGCAACGCCGCGUGAGUGAUGAAGGCUUUCGGGUCGUAAAACUCUGUUGUUAGGGAAGAACAAGUGCUAGUUGAAUAAGCUGGCACCUUGACGGUACCUAACCAGAAAGCCACGGCUAACUACGUGCCAGCAGCCGCGGUAAUACGUAGGUGGCAAGCGUUAUCCGGAAUUAUUGGGCGUAAAGCGCGCGCAGGUGGUUUCUUAAGUCUGAUGUGAAAGCCCACGGCUCAACCGUGGAGGGUCAUUGGAAACUGGGAGACUUGAGUGCAGAAGAGGAAAGUGGAAUUCCAUGUGUAGCGGUGAA